UACAGAGGGGGCAAGCGUUGUUCGGAAUUACUGGGCGUAAAGGGCGCGUAGGCGGCCUGUUAAGUCAGACGUGAAAUCCCUCGGCUCAACCGGGGAACUGCGUCUGAUACUGGCGGGCUUGAAUUCGGGAGAGGGAUGUGGAAUUCCAGGUGUAGCGGUGAAAUGCGUAGAUAUCUGGAGGAACACCGGUGGCGAAGGCGGGUCUCUGGGCCGAUACUGACGCUGAGGAGCGAAAGCAUGGGUAGCGAACAGG
RNAcentral lists this ribosomal RNA (253 nucleotides) under uncultured bacterium. RNAcentral's name for it is "partial 16S ribosomal RNA". It matches the Rfam family "Bacterial small subunit ribosomal RNA", at positions 524 to 776 of the family's 1533-position model. The record is from RNAcentral.